This 465-nucleotide ribosomal RNA is filed under the name uncultured bacterium. Its description in RNAcentral is "partial 16S ribosomal RNA". It matches the Rfam family "Bacterial small subunit ribosomal RNA", at positions 28 to 507 of the family's 1533-position model. The record is from RNAcentral.
GACGAACGCUGGCGGCGUGCUUAACACAUGCAAGUCGAACGGAAAGGCCCUGCUUGCAGGGUACUCGAGUGGCGAACGGGUGAGUAACACGUGGAUGAUCUGCCCUGCACUUCGGGAUAAGCCUGGGAAACUGGGUCUAAUACCGGAUAGGAGCCAUUUUUAGUGUGAUGGUUGGAAAGUUUUUUCGGUGUAGGAUGAGCUCGCGGCCUAUCAGCUUGUUGGUGGGGUAAUGGCCUACCAAGGCGGCGACGGGUAGCCGGCCUGAGAGGGUGGACGGCCACAUUGGGACUGAGAUACGGCCCAGACUCCUACGGGAGGCAGCAGUGGGGAAUAUUGCACAAUGGGCGCAAGCCUGAUGCAGCGACGCCGCGUGGGGGAUGACGGCCUUCGGGUUGUAAACUCCUUUCGCUAGGGACGAAGCUUUUUGUGACGGUACCUAGAGAAGAAGCACCGGCUAACUACGUG